Molecule: ribosomal RNA, 254 nt
Filed under: uncultured prokaryote
Description: partial 16S ribosomal RNA
Rfam family: Bacterial small subunit ribosomal RNA
Source: RNAcentral
UACGGGGGGAGCAAGCGUUGUUCGGAUUUACUGGGCGUAAAGGGCGCGUAGGCGGUCACUACAAGUCAGUUGUGAAAUCUCUGGGCUUAACUCAGAACGGUCAGCUGAUACUGUCGGACUAGAAUGCAGAAGGGGCAACUGGAAUUCUCGGUGUAGCGGUGAAAUGCGUAGAUAUCAAGAGGAACACCUGAGGUGAAGACGGGUUGCUGGGCUGACACUGACGCUGAGGCGCGAAAGCCAGGGGAGCAAACGGG